Molecule: transfer RNA, 73 nt
Filed under: Pantoea sp. Mhis
Lineage: Bacteria; Pseudomonadati; Pseudomonadota; Gammaproteobacteria; Enterobacterales; Erwiniaceae
Rfam family: tRNA
About the family: Transfer RNA (tRNA) molecules are approximately 80 nucleotides in length. Their secondary structure includes four short double-helical elements and three loops (D, anti-codon, and T loops). Further hydrogen bonds mediate the characteristic L-shaped molecular structure. tRNAs have two regions of fundamental functional importance: the anti-codon, which is responsible for specific mRNA codon recognition, and the 3' end, to which the tRNAs corresponding amino acid is attached (by aminoacyl-tRNA synthetases). tRNAs cope with the degeneracy of the genetic code in two manners: having more than one tRNA (with a specific anti-codon) for a particular amino acid; and 'wobble' base-pairing, i.e. permitting non-standard base-pairing at the 3rd anti-codon position.
Source: Rfam by way of RNAcentral
GGGGCUAUAGCUCAACUGGCAGAGCACUUGUAUGGCAUACAAGAGGUCAGCGGUUCAAUUCCGCUUAGCUCCA